UACGUAGGUGGCAAGCGUUAUCCGGAAUUAUUGGGCGUAAAGCGCGCGUAGGCGGUUUUUUAAGUCUGAUGUGAAAGCCCACGGCUCAACCGUGGAGGGUCAUUGGAAACUGGAAAACUUGAGUGCGGAAGAGGAAAGUGGAAUUCCAUGUGUAGCGGUGAAAUGCGCAGAGAUAUGGAGGAACACCAGUGGCGAAGGCGACUUUCUGNGUCUGUAACUGACGCUGAUGUGCGAAAGCGUGGGGAUCAAACAGGAUUAGAUAC
RNAcentral lists this ribosomal RNA (263 nucleotides) under uncultured Staphylococcus sp. Its description in RNAcentral is "partial 16S ribosomal RNA". It matches the Rfam family "Bacterial small subunit ribosomal RNA", at positions 524 to 785 of the family's 1533-position model. Lineage: Bacteria; Bacillati; Bacillota; Bacilli; Caryophanales; Staphylococcaceae. The record is from RNAcentral.